AUUCAAAAAAGAGCAGUUUGCGAGAUUCGCUGGGAUUUGCCCUGAUAGGUUGUUGGAUGAGAGAUCCAGGAUUACCACAAAACCUAUAAUUUUGGAGAUAUCUCGUGGAAUACUUCCAUUGAGCUCGUUGCUCGAAAGAUCUAAUGAUGUCAUAGAGGUACAAUUCUGAAUACCACGUGAAAACCUGCCCUUAAGACCCAUGUCAGGAAGAGUGAUACUCAGAAGAUGGAAUACUUCCACUGAGCUUGUUGCUCGAAAGAUCUAAUGAUGUCAUAGAGGUACAAUUCUGAAUACCACGUGGAAACCUGCCCUUAAGACCCAUGUCUGGAAGAGUGAUACUCAGAACCUUGCUUUCAUCCGGAUGCCAACACUGAAUCCCAGUAAAUUUGCAGAUGAAACCUUCGGUCUGAUUAUCGAAGUUCCAUGUUGACCCCAAGUAAUCUAAUGGAUCUUCUAACGACUCUUUUACAGAUUUCAGACAGUCAAUAUCGCUUUGAACAGCACAGCAAACAUCGAAACACAUGACCAAGUAGAUCAAAAUAGAAGCAAGAGUGGUAAGAGCUCUGUUAUCCAAUGCCAUCUUGGUGAAAGGCCCGGUCAUAAUUGCAUCGAUCGAAGGGCCUAGUUACGUAGUUGAAUGAAACAUUUAAGAUCUCUUUAGACUAGUUCACAACCCCAAACAAUGUGAAAUGCAUUGCAAGUACAAAUCCAAUUUCUCCUGAGCUAAAUCCAGAAACCUACAAAACAGUGAAGGGGAAAUUUAAGAACUGCAGGGAAAAAGUUAUAUGACGAGUCAGUUCGAUCAAUCAGUCAAUCAACUAUAACUCAAUUCCAAACUAGUCGAGA
This 846-nucleotide long non-coding RNA is filed under the name Nicotiana benthamiana. RNAcentral describes it as "long non-coding RNA (NBEN_LNC040683)". Lineage: Eukaryota; Viridiplantae; Streptophyta; Magnoliopsida; Solanales; Solanaceae. The record is from RNAcentral.